UUGGAGGGCAAGUCUGGUGCCAGCAGCCGCGGUAAUUCCAGCUCCAAUAGCGUAUAUUAAAGUUGUUGCAGUUAAAAAGCUCGCAGUUGAAUUUCGGGAUUUAUCCGUCGGUCGGGCUUUUGGGUCUGUACUGGCGUGAUGGAUUCCUACCUUCUGAAUAACCGGCAUGUCAUUUAUUUGGUGCGCUAGGGAAGCAGGACUGUUACCUUGAAAAAAUUAGAGUGCUUAAAGCAGGCUAUUGCCUGAAUACAUUAGCAUGGAAUAAUGAAAUAGGACGGCAUGGUUCUAUUUUGUUGGUUUCUAGGAUUGACGUAAUGAUUAAUAGGGAUAGUUGGGGCAUUAGUAUUCAAUUGUCAGAGGUGAAAUUCUUAGAUUUAUUGAAGACUAACUACUGCGAAAGCAUUUGCCAAGGAUGUUUUCAUUAAUCAAGAACGAAAGUUAGGGGAUCGAAGACGAUCAGAUACCGUCGUAGUCUUAACCAUAAACUAUGCCGACUAGGGAUCGGAUGAUG
This 511-nucleotide ribosomal RNA is filed under the name uncultured Glomeromycotina. RNAcentral's name for it is "SSU rRNA". It matches the Rfam family "Eukaryotic small subunit ribosomal RNA", at positions 548 to 1062 of the family's 1831-position model. Lineage: Eukaryota; Fungi; Glomeromycota. The record is from RNAcentral.